This 18940-nucleotide long non-coding RNA is filed under the name Xyrichtys novacula (pearly razorfish). The record is from RNAcentral. Lineage: Eukaryota; Metazoa; Chordata; Actinopteri; Labriformes; Labridae.
UGCCUUAGUAAACAAAUAUAAAUAAAACCAUAAACUAUUUAAUAUAAACCUGAUUCACCAAAGUGUAAAUUAGACAUAAAAAAUGAAAAAAGAGACAUUUUUGCACUAGAAAAAGUUGUCUUUCAGUUCAUCCUGUCAUGUUUUAAAUUAUUUACAACCUGACUUGUUAGAUGAAUUAAUCCUUCAUCACUUUUUGGUCUUAUUUUAAUUGAAAACCAGCUUUUGCGUCACACACUACUAAUUGCUUGUGUAGGAAAUAACACUGCAAAUAAAUGUCAGGUACCUCACAAGAGUUGAUUAAAUAUUGAAAAUACCUGCAAUUAGGGUCACAGUGACAGAAGCUGCUGUUAUGACUGUGUUAUAUAAUGUAUAAUGUGUGGUGUAUAAUUCAACUCUGCAUGUAGGGUGGUUUCCAUAGGGCUGAUUGAACUAAUGCACGAAUGUACCAUGGUUCAAGUGUUUAAGGUGUAUGUUUCAUGUAUAUUCUUUUAUUUCGUUUGCAGAUAUGUCGGAAACUUCAGAAGAAUAACAGCUGAAACCACACAAAGGUAGGUCACCGCUCUGACCCACUGCUGCUCCUACUUUCUAAAAAUUCUGAUUUCUUUAGGCUUUCACACGUUCACUCAACACAUCAGAAAAAAAAAAAAAACUUACUGAUAUUGUUAGAAAAUUGACCAAGACUCAAGAACAAAAGCUUUUGACAUAUAGCUUCCAAAAUCGGGGUAUGGAAGGUAAGUGCUGCAUUAUAACAUCUUGCAAAUGGAAUAAGAAAUUCCCUCGACGUGACAUGAAAAUUCACCUCAUGGCAGCCGGGCGCAUGCAGGGGCAAGCCACGUCAGCAGCCAGACAGGCCGACUGGAUGUGACAGGUAAAAAGGGGAGAUGAUGGUUAGAAGGUGCUAUUGUUUCACGCCCGCUUUCUUGACCUGUCAGGUCCCGGCACAGAGGCCCCAGAUCCAGGACCUCCUCUGACACAUGCAAACAGUCUUAAAAGGCCGUUAUCCAGACUGCACUGAUUGCUCCUGUUUAAUUGAUUUGCUUUGCACUGGGGCCUGUCACAUUAAUAAUGGUUAAGUACAGGCCUCAGUGUGUCACCCGGAGUGGUGCGUCUAUCGGGAAAUUAACAGCCUUAACUAACUGCUGUCUGUGAAGCAAGAAGUAUGUGAUCUUAUGAGAUGCAGCUAAUUUAAUACUCAGGCUAAAACUGUAGAAUUUAUAAUCGAAUCGCUUUCUCGUUCUCCUUUCUUCAGCACAUAUUCUUGAAACCUUCUGAGCAGUUUGACCUGUCCUUAAGUAGCUCUGUAUGUACCUAUAUUAUAUCCCCAUCUCAUUAUGAACCACCAUCCAUAGUAAAACAGAGAGGCACGCUGACAUGUAAAUGGCAUUGAGUGAAUAAGACUCAGAUUAUGCUCUCCGCCACUUCACAGGAGCCUUUGACAGGUCGCAGCAGACAUUAAGUCUCUGUGAUAUUUCCAUGACUGACUGACAGCUUGAAAUUGCUCCCCAUCACCUUGAUAGCAUGGUAAUGCACCUUGCAUGCAGACUGUCUUUAAAGUACAGGAAAUUAGACUCCAAGUUGAGAGUCGCCUUUCAACCAAAUAUGACAAGAAAAUAGACUCGCUUUUCUUCUGCGCCUGGAGAGGGGAGAAAAAAAGGCCCCACAGAAGCUGGCACAGAAUAAGAGGUUACAGGAGAAAGUGUCAGGAAGCAUUACGGAUAUUAUGUGUUUAAGACAGGACAUUUCAGAUACUUAGAAGUCAUACCCGUUCCUCUAUUCCUCCCCCUCCGUCUGUGUCAAAUACUGACUUCAUUUGCAAGAGCUCAACCCAUGGCUGACACCAAGAGCUCGCAGUAUCUCGCCGGAAGUCAGCAUGACGGAGACAGUUAGGAAAAGUUGAGGUGCAGCCAAGAUCGCGGCGGUGAAGGGUCUUUUUCACGUUGUCUCCUCGAUUAGUUAAAGCUGGUCAGGAGUAAGGAAGCAAAGCCUUGUGGAGAUUAUCAGCUGUCGUCCACUUGCCAUCAGGCAGGUGAGGAUCCUGGUGGGUUGUAGUCAUGCUGUAGAGAAGAGUUAACUUCACCUUCUCCUUCCCUGUUAGCAGCUGGAACCAACAGCUCAAUUCAAGCUGACAUCUGCCAUAUUACUGCCGCACAACUUUGUGGAAACUUCAAGAAGCUCCAGUAAGACUGUCAGUACUGGACUUGUCUGAAAGGUUUAGGAGAAACAGGCGAGUGCGAUCAUGUUUACUGGUGGCAAAGUUUGGUUUGUGGCUUCACUUAGCUCAAUUUGUCCAUGACAAAAUCUUCUUGAAAUCAGUUCUGGAUCUGCUGGUCCUAUUUUCUUGACUUGUUGCUCAUUUCACAGCUAGAAAAGGUCUGUCACAAUUUCCUAGAUUUCAAAUAGUUUCUUUACAUUUCUUGUUUUGUCAGACCAAAAAUUCAAACCCUUAAAUAUCAAGUGUACAAGAAAGGAAAUUUAAGUUCCUCAUAUUAAGGAUGGAUCCUGUAACAUAAAAUACAGGUUAGGAUUGUAUACAGUCCAAUUUAUGAGGCAAAAUUGCUUGGUUCUGUCCAUCAAGAGCUUAAAGCCCAGCAAAUGUUCAGUUUUUACACCCACAGAAAAACUAAUCAAGUUCUCACAUGUUGUGGGUGGCUUGUCUUUUUGUGAAUUGGAGAUUCAAACCCCCAAAAUAUCCAAUUUUCAAAAGAGUAAUACAGAAAAAGAGGAUAAAAUCUUGACUUUUAAAAUUACUCUUGGCAAGAAAAUGCCUGAAAUGAUUUCAUAAAGGCCAAAAAAAUUUCUUGAAUUUCUUGUUUUGUUUGACAAGACUCCCAAAGUAUUAAAUUUACAAAAAUAUCACACAGAAAAAAACAUGAAAUUCUACAUUUGAGAUUAAUUCUUGUUGAACAAUGCCCGCCAGAAUCUCAUUAAGCCUAACUGUACUAGUUUAAAAUGCUUGUUUUGGUUGACCAGGGGCUUAAAACCUUAUAUAUUCAAAUUACAAGAAUUUGGACUUGGAAAAAAAUCACAAUGAUUGUUGGACCAAACCACAAAAUGAAUGUCCAGAUUCCCCCAAAGAUUCUCUACAGCUUAUCUUAUUACAUUUAAUCCAUUUUGUAACCAGGAGUUCCAAACUCAAAUGAUUUGAUUUAUAAUAAUCCAGAACUUUAACAAAGUUGUAAAUCCUCUCAGAAAAUUGAAAUUUUACCACAACUAAUAAGUAAAAAACAAUCUUUGACGAAACUAUAACAGAUUCAAUUGUUGUACAAACUCUAUCCUGCAACUUAGCAAGUAUAACAUUUUUAAUAGAAGACACCAAACACUUGUAUUUGUUUGUGAUCACUCUGUUUAAGAUUCACAUUCACUAUUCUGCACAUGUGCAACACCCAGUGCUGAUCCCUCACAUUUACUCGUCUAGAUUUAAUUUAUGGAGCCUAAGCCGGGGGUGAAAAUGUACAGGUAGCGUGUUAUGACACUGGAAGCACUGUGCAGGUCGGGAUGAAUGUCUGUGAUGGGCAGAUUAUUCAGACUAAAGUAGGCCUAAAGAAUGAUCUUGUCACAUUUCACAGGCCGGAUUAGGGAUACGCGGGAGGAGCGCUUCAGUCAGGAAUUAGCGUCAUGUGGUCGGCUGGAGACAAGCAUGCAAGGUAUUUGCCGAGACAGGCUUGGACACUUACCGCUCCAUUUGUCUACUUAGCGAUCAAAUACUGAAGCUGAUGGUUAUUUCUCUGUCAUUUGUGGUUUACGUGAUACAUGUUCAUCUCCGUGAUGUGAAAUUUCUGAGAUCAGAACACCCCCGUGGACAUUCAGGUUCAUUUAGCUUCUUUCUAUAAACGCACCACAUGCAAUUCUACGUGUACAAUACAGCAUUAGAUACAACACACUAUGCCAACUUGAACCAGCUAUAUUUGUGGCUUUGCAUGCUAAACGAGAGCGAGUGUGAGUGUCUUCAGGCUAUCAAAAUGAGCUUUUACCACCAUGAUUGAAGAGUGAGAGAGCGUGCAGGAGCUAAAAGACAAAGUAGAAGAGGCCUGACAAAUGAAAUCAAACUUCAUAAGACCUGCCAGUGGUGUCAGUUGUUAUCCAUAUCUCCAGCGCAUUAUGGUACCGCAACGCAGCUCACCGCCGUCUCAUCUGUCGCCUCGAAUUCAUCACGUCCUCGACUGUUUCUUUUAAGUCACAAGUGUCAGUGUGAAGAGGAGUCUUAAUUGACAACUGAGUGGCACAGACGUGGACCGCUGCCUUUAUUUUGGUGCCAAGAAGGGUUGUGUUGUUUUUGAUGAGCUAUUAUUGGCAGAAGCCAGUAGCAAGAUAGCGGUCGGAGCCUGGAAAUGGGAAGUGACAUCAGACAGAGAGGAGCUUGUCGUUGUCUCUAGGCGAGUUCAACCCCAGCUGUAAGUUGGGAACAGCCUGUUGAAAUGUCACUCAGCUGAAUUUCUUAUCUCUGGAGAAGAGAAAUUUGGCUCCAUUUGGUGAAAUUGCGGCUGGAAUUGUUUAGACAUUUGCAGUCCGAAUAUUGAAUAGCAAAAACAAGUUGGCCUGGUUUCAAAGAAGAUGUUUUCUGGUGUAAUUAAAUGUAUUAUGUUGAACAUAGAGAGCUACCAUGAGCCUCCAGCAUUCAUUUGCAGAGCAUUUGAGAUCUGUUGCCCCAAAUUUGCUGCAGUGUUUCUCAACAUAUUAUUUAUUUGUCAGAAUCAAUUGGCAGUCUGAUUUUCUUUAGUACUUCGUGUUCGCUGCCAAUCCAUAAAUUUAAUUUAGAUUUUGUAUGCUUUGUGGUGUCCACCCAUGAGAUUUCUGCUGGAGUAUUUUUUUGCAGAGCUCAAAGCAUUAAAAAUGGGAUUGAAGAUAAUGUGUGACUCUCUAAUGGUCGUCAUGGUUUGGUAGUAAAAUUACACAGAGGCCUCGAAAGGCAACCAAAACUAAUAUUCUGCAAAGAGAGUGGCGAGACAGCCAAACAAAACUCACAUUUGUAAGGUUCACAACCAGAAAUGUCCAACAAACUGAAAAUUCAGCUUUAAAAAAAUCCACUGGGAAUUCAUUGGAAAAACUAGGAGGAACCAAAAGAGAACACAGGAAAGACGCCAGGUAGACUACCCUGAUGAGGUGAAACUGAUCACAAGAAGCAUGCAACAGGACAAAGGGCACAAAAAAUAACAACACAGACUAAGGGCAUAACUGACAAUUUAGUCCAAGACUGGCGUACAACAGGAAAAAGACAUUAAAGUUCAAGUAACAUAAAGUAACCAAGCCUAACCUUACCCUUCCUUAACACAACACAACAUAACGUAAUACCAGUAAACAUACCCAGGAAGACACAAAUAGCAACUCAUGACAGAAGUAUGAUGAGGUAUCUAGGUUAUCCAAUUUUACAAAGUUUUGCCUCCAGAAAGAGUUCGGCUGUGUCUAACAGCUUUUUCACAUCUUAGUAACCAUCAGUUAGUGGCCUUCAAAUUUGGAAUAGAUGUUCUUAGUUCCCAAAAGAUGGAGCCCAACUUUAAUGGUCACCCCAUUUUUGUCCCAUGUUGACUCUUUUAGACUCGUUAAGUGUCUCAUUUAGACCACAAGCUAACUCAGUUGGAUAAGGUUGUUGCUAAAAUUUAAGAACUGCACUAUUAGGGGUUGAGGAAACAUCGUGGGCUACCCAUUAGCCACCUCAAAAUGUCUUUCUUUUUUUUCAUUUCAAACCGCAUCUUUAGCAAUAGUGUCUCUUGGCAUCUAGUAUUUUGAUUGAGCAGCCUGAUGCAAGAAAUAUUUCUUUCGCAGUAGGAUCUGGAUUUUUUGCCUUUAGACCCAGAAAGGGCCAGUCUUCCCCUCUGGUGCCCCCAAAGGGUCCACAUUGGUGGUUUUACCAGCUUUGGCUAACAUAAGGGAAACUAUUUGUGCAAAAGUAGAGUGAACUUUCCCUUCGAUAUGAAUUAAAGGACUGGAUUUCCCUCAUCAUAACAACUAGUGUAAACUGUUAUUCCGGUACUGUAACCCGCCCUUUGAGAAACAUCUGGCAUUUAUAACCAGCUCACAGUAAAUCAAUGAGCCGCCCGUAACAUCUAGCUCAAUAGCAGCACUUCUUAAUCACAAUGUUCUCUUCUAAUAUUCACUCAGCUGGAGUACAGAGUAAAUAAAUAGCUCUCAGCACAGUACGUCUUGCUGUACAUUGAUCACAAGCACAAGACCCCAGGCGAUAACGCACAGAAGAAAAAUGGCUUCCUGGUUUUCAGUCAUCUGAGGCUCUGUGCAGCCCUUAAUAGACAGAAUCAGAAUGUCUGCUGUGGUGUUGCAGGCUUUAUGAGGGACCAUUACCGCUUUUAUUGUGUAUCCCUGGACUAAUGGCUUUCCAUAGUACCUCUGAUUUACGGCCUGUCAGCUCUGUGGCUGUCCAUUAGAACGGUAGGUUGACAUCAAGCCAGUGGUUGUAGUGCCUACUGUUCAAAAUAAGGAAGUCAUGUCUCAGAUAUACACACCAGAUGUCUAAAAACACUCUCACUUUUCAAAGGUUCUUCUAUUAGGUCAUUUACAGAAGACAAAUAUCGCUCUGUCUCUGAGUGGAUAUGACACACGUUUACGGUUUAUACAAGGUAAACCUGUCAAAUCUGUGCACACACAGCCCCUUACUGUUUGUAAUCAUCAGCAUUAAGCAGAUUUUUUAAUGGAUAGUUUAUGAUGGGACAUAAACUGUGUUCCCAGCACUUAAACACGUCAUUAAAUAUAAGCCUCUCUUAUGGACUUUAUUUUCUGGUCGGUUUUUUAUAGUUUGGGUUGAAUUUCUUAAAUUGAGUAUGAGCCGUUCACACAUACAGCAGAUUCAAAUCACUGAUGCUGAUUUUAAACUUCAUCAUUUUGAGGUCAAAGUUCACAAUGUGUCAUAUUUUCAUGAUGAUUACUAAGAUCUGGGAACAUACUGUGAUGAUAUAAUAAAGAUGAGAUCACAAAUGGCAGGUGCAGAGCUCAUAAAUUUCUUGUACAAACAUGGUCAACAUCUUAAAAAGCACAUUUCUAGCUUGCCAAACUUAGUAAAAGAGGGAACAAGGUGAUCCCUUACAAAUGCAAAGAAGACCAGUGACAAGAGGUUGUACUUGGAAGUGCCGAACCACUGCUAUUAACAUCACAAAAAAGGUUGAAAAGCUCCUAAUUUUUUUCCAGUUUUCAAAAUCUUUCAGGUUAUCCAUAAACUGUAACUAUGUACCAACCCCAGUCAGUCAUUCUCUCUGACUCAAACAGCAAACUGAUGAGGUUUUUUGGCGUAUUUGCCUUUAUUAGAUCAGACAGAGAAAAGAAGAGAGAAAGGAAAUGUUUGGAGUAGAGAGUGAGGAAUGGCGUACAACAAGACAAUGUUAACAGAAGUCAUACAGAGGAAACAGGUAAGAGAAACAACUCACAUGUGCGAGUCCGAUCAAUGACGCCAAAACAUGAAAAUAAAAUCAUGUAAAGUAAGAUAAAGUAAAACAAGUAUGACAAUUCAUCUGCAGAUUGAGGUUCAUUGCAGAAUUUCGGUCCAGUGAACUAUGGGCAUUUGAUUCACAUUGGCGAAUGUGUUUGCAGCCAAGCGGUACUGUGACAUGUUAGCAUGCCACUUUUAGAUCCCUUGUGAUAGUGGUAGUUGCCUGCAUGUUAUGUGUGUCCGUUUAGAUUUUUUCUGGGUUGUCCCCAAUGAGUAGGGUUUUAUGAGCAGCAUGUGUAGCCUGAGAGAAGCCACUAUACCCAGCAUCAUUUAAGAGAGUUAGCAGUGUUUGGUUUGCUUUUCUUAUUUCCUCUUUUUUUGUCAUUAUUCAGUAUGUACGGCAAUGUCUCUAUGAGAAGAAAAUUGCUGUAAAUUUUGUUGCAAUACUCACAAGAAAAUAGAUGAUCAAAGAAAGUCAGAUUUUAAGGAGGCCAGAGUUGUAGAAUAAAUUUGACCUUAGAUUUUAAUCAGAUAAUAUUCAAUUUCUUGCGUUCAGACAACUCUCACAGAUCAGAGCUGACGGUUUGAAAUGUACCUGCGCUGAGUUGCUGUUGAAGGCCAGGAUGGAUGAACACAUGCAGACAAACAGGAAGGAAUGUUUAAUUUAAAGGGGAUCGUAAAUGGAUCACCAUACAAGAAAGCCACCUCAGACUUUUAUCUCUGUUGGCUCUUGUAUGACCUUUCGUGCUGACUUUUUUUAAUGCACAGCUGGACCAACUUUAAAGCCCGCUGAGUCUCAGGACAGUGCUUUUACCUCUGAUAAUCUGUCCGCAAUCUUCCAUAAACCUCACUUUAUUAGCUCAUACACAAGGAUCAUCCAUGUGGAAUUAGAGCAAGAAAAUUUAACCGUGACAAUUUAACUUUCUUCAGAUGUUCAGAGAGGAAAUCACAUCGUACAAAACAUGCUCUCUAGUCCCCGUGCAGAUACUUAAUUAAUGAAAAUGCACUCUGAAAACCAGGGAUAUCUUGUCAAUAUUCUGCCGUCUUCCCUUAAUUGUUCAUGGUGCAUCAGAGCCACAGGCGGGGGGUGAGGCAGGUGAUCCCUGACGGGGGAGGAGCCGGUCCUGCUUCACAUAAAAUCAAUUCUGGCCUUUGGUGUUGGCAAGCCAGCGGGGUUUGUUGGGGGGGAGCAAGGAGGGGGGGAACACAUGUCUGACACCUCCUGACUUUUUCAUGAGGUGGCGUUUGAAGUUUUAAACCCCCACGGAGGAUUCUUGGGGCGAUGAAUAUAAAAGGGGGUGCAGCUUAAAUCGCAGGCAUAUUAUCAUCAAUGAAGAACGGUUACCCAAGUUCGAUUUUGAUAAGGAGGUCAAACGAUUCGAUUUUGUAGUAAUGUCAACACCUGAAAAGUACUACUCACGAUACACCCUUCAGAAUCUCAUCUAUUUGAAUGUCAUGUUAUUUGAACGUUUCCUUCUCCCAUGAUGGACAUCCUCUCUUUCUAAGCUGCUCUUACGUUGCCCUUGUCUCGAGUGGGUCUGUUCUCCCUCGGUUCACGCGCUGCGGUGGGCACAAAGAAGAGGAGCUUGACCUCAAAGCAUCUUUUGUUGCAGAGGCAGUGGAGGGUGGUGGCUCUGAUUCAUGUGAUGGGGUGAGGAGGUGUGGUAGGUGCCGAGGAGGGUGGGCCCACAAUGACAAGCCUGGGUUCUGCAGUCCUGGUGGUCCUGUCUUUCAGCUGCUUGAGUCAUAACUCCUCUUCAUAAUAAACAAGUUCAUCUUUGACUGUUUGAGUUUGACAUUUACUGUCUGCCUGAAGUCUUGUUCGGUAUCUCAAUCUCUUAAAUGCACUAUGCUAAUUUUUUCAACUUGGCUUUUUUCCCCCCAGUUUUAUUAAAAGAUACCAGACUGUCCUCACAAAUACGAGUCAAGCAUUUCAACGCUUGUUACAACCAGAUUUUGAAUCUAUUGUUCGGUGGUUAACUCAAUUUGCCACAGUACUUGUGGUCAGUAAUUUGGACUGCUGCAGAAGACAAAGUCAUGUGACAUAUUAUGAAGAGCAUGAGGGUCCAGAGGGUUUAGAAGAGGUCAGGGCAGAAAGGGUCAAACAUAAGUCAAACUAGUAUUUGUGUAUGGCAUUCAGCGUUAUUCAUCGUAAGAUUCAUUCGCCAGUUAGCGUUAAUGCCAUCAAGCAAGUGCACUCAGAUUCAGUCCGCUAGCCGUUUCCUCUCUGCAUGGUACAGUUUAAACCGCAUUUGUGGAUGCAUGUGCAUCAACAGACAGCCAUUAGAUAGAGUCUAUGCAGUGGUUCCCACUACAGACUCUUAUUUAUUUAUUUAAUGCAGUGACAAGAACAGCUUGCCCAUUUAUGCUGAGGAACAUUCUGAAAUGGCUGAACUAUUUGCUCAUGCAGUCUCUGAUAGGAAGAAAUGAAACCUCUCUGAGACGCCAUUUUUAUACCCAGUCAUGUUAUUAACAUGACCUGAACAAACCUAACCUAAUGGGUCAUGAGAUGUUCCUGUAGUUUGCUAGUAGGGCUGUAGAGUCCUAGUCGCCUAGGCGAUUUAUUGGUCGAUACGUGCUAAGUCGACCAAAAUUAUGAUUGAAUUUUUUGCGUGUCAGUUUACAGUCUGUGGUUAAUUUGAUCAGGAGGAACGUACCAAGUGCUAAUGGGGGUGUUUUCAGAGCACCCCCAUUUCACAGGUAACAUCCUGUCUCAGAACCUCCUGUCAAAGUCGUACCCCCCGAUUAGUCAAACUUUGGUCGAAAAUUUCAGGGUUUUAGUCGACCAAGAAUUUCUUUGGUUGAUUACAGCCCAAGUCGCUAGCAUCAAAGUAUUAGUAAAUUAUAAGCCAAUACAUUUUUCAUUAUCAACAUUUUGAAAUGAUGUCUUAGUCUUUAUUUUCUGCUUUUUUUCUAACUUCACAGUAACUGACACAUUACAUUGAACAGUCCUCCAAAUCCAAAGAGGAGACAUUAUUCGCUGACUUCCCCCACCAGAUGCUGGGGCUUGUCUCAGGGAAGUGCAGUGUCCUGGAUCUGGUGGCGCUGCCAUAUAACCGCUGUAUAAAUAGAUUCCUGUGACAGAGCCAUUCAUCUCCAGCCUCAAACACAUCAACAUUAAAAGACAGCUCACCAAGACCUCUGCGCUUGUUAGGGCAGGAUCAGCGGUCCAGAUGCCCAAGAUGUAAACUCGUGAAGGGAAGAUUAAUUUAUCUGUCAUCCCUGCCUGUGACAGUAGUGAUAAAUCUGAUUUAGCUGUUGAGCAGGAGCCGUGAAGAAGGGCAGCUGGACAUUAAGAUUUCAAAGAAGUGAUAUCAAGAGGAGUAACUCGUGACUCACGGCCUGCCUCACAGGGGUCAAAAGUUCUUCAAAGAUGUUUCAUGACUGCGGUGUGAUGUUUCGAGACUUGGGACGUGGAAAAAAAAAAAGGCAUCUCAUCUCUUCACACUUGUGUUGUUUUCCAAAAUGGCUGCAAUCAUGUGAGGCUCCUCUGUCAAAAAAGCAGGCAUAGGGUGUCAAAGGAGCUAUUUACUUGGAGAUGGAUGGGAACAGACGAUACGAGGUGGUCACAUCCUGUGACCAUCUGCACGGGAGUCAUGCUAGUUAUUCAGAUCGGACACAGAUGCUUGGGCAUAACAUGAGCCUCUAUGCGGAUAUUUGGAUGCAUGACAAAAUGCUCAGAGUCACACGUCAUGGAAUGUAAAGUUCAUGUGCAAAAGUUUUCUACAGGUUCAUUUGUGGUUUUUUGUGAAAUAGCUGCUGAAUGAAGCGGAUGAAAACUCCCAAACUCUCAUCUUCUCUUGAAAUUAGUGGAACCUCUUCAGAACUUCAGGGGGGUUUUCUGUUUUUGUGAAAUUAACUUCAUCCGCUUAGGGCUCUAGUUUUUAAGCCAUCUUCCGCUUUAUGUUCCAGCAGUGUCAACAAUGUUUGGGACACUUCCUCUUUUUUCUACCUAAACCUAUCAGAGAGUUAAAGAAACUCUGGGGCGUUUACUGACACUGAAAUCAAAUUGUGCAUAACACACCGCUUUAAGAUGCUUAUGGUGGGGAUAAAAUGUCAUAGCACAUUAAACAGCUAAAUGACCUGAUCACAGCCAUGUGUAGGUGUGGAGUGGGCGGGUGGGAGGGGCGGCACACCAUGAUGAAUCUCUUCCUUUGAAGCCCCUUUUCUUUUCAUCGUGUCUGUGUUGCUUUCACUCUGAUGAAACCACAGUCUUUGUGUUGUAAACAAGACAGUUCUGUGACGGGAACAGAGGGUAAAUGAGGUUUUUCUUUCUUAAAAGAGUCUCUCGUCACUGCAUUUGUGGAUGUCAACAAGAAGGACAGUGAAUAGACUAAGGAGCCCUGUUUACUAAGAAACCUGUGUUUAAUACAGUCCUCUGUAUUGGCAGGAAGUAUUAAAGAAAGUUUUCACACCGAUUUUGGACAAACUGAAAGAUUCAUGUUGAAUUUUGCAAAUUUUAUUAUUUCACAUCCACACAGAUGUUUUAUUUUGCUUAUAUUAUCAGAAGACAGGAGUGUCAUAUGCUAAUGUAACUCUGUAUAAAUCACUUGAAUUAAGGUGUUACAUGAAAAAGACAGUGAGCAGGAUUAGAAAUAUUCAUAACAUUAGAGCUUGUUUGGCUCAGUGGUUAUUAUGCACCCUGUGUCCUUAGACUGUAGUCCUCGAAGCUAGUUACCCAGGAUCUGACACUUUGCCCGGACACGAUAAUGACGGAUUAUAGGUCUCUAUUUAUCAUUCAGACAAAGUUUUCAUUUUUCAGGUGCACCUUAGCCAUCUUGUGGAAACAAGGCCUGAGGCAUCAGAGCCCUCCUCUACCCCUAAAUAAAUAAAUGAAUAAAUACAAAGAAAUGUCCAAAACAUAGCUACAUUGAACACGCACGAGCUAGCAUAAGCCACUGCUGCUGUUAUUCCAUAGAGGCUAAUAGUUCAUUUAGCCCAAUUUAUUCGACAAAGCUUAACAGGGGAUUAAAGAACUUGUAGGUAACACUGUCGCGUAAGUUUGCUUAGUGUGGUUACAGUUAGCAGUAGGGGUGGGAGAAAAAAUUGAUUCACAUAAGUAUCACAUUUUUUUGUUUUACAAUUUUUAAAUCGAUUUUUAGGUUCAAAAAUGUUUUAUUUUUUUUUUCAAAUUUAAGAAUAAAUCUUUAAAACAGACUAACAUGUGAUGUCUAUUUUUGGAGAAAUAUGGUUCCUGGAAUAGUCAGUAGACAAUCAUAAUCAUUCAACUGUUUCACUGGUGUUAAAAAUGCAGACCGAAUAUCAAGGAAAUCGACAAUAUCGUAGAAUCGCAAUUUAAAUCGAAUUGGCAUCCAAAAAUCGUAGAAAAUUUUAAUUGGGAGAAAAGCAUAUAGUUAGCAGAGCUAGCACCACCAGCCUUCAUUACUCCUUUCAGGUUUACAUCCACAUACUUGUGUUGGUGACGUAUUGCUUUGGUUGAAUAGCUCAGUACCACUUAAACCAGCUCCACUGAGGGUUGAGCUACAAAACCUUUGACUGACGUGAACACCCCUAUGGUGAGUUUGGUUAAUUGUUAAUUCUGACAUUCAGUUGUUUUUAUUCCUGUAGUCUUUAUGAUACUUUAAGACCACAGUGUCUCUUAAAAGAAGCAUCUGAGGGACUUAUCGGUAACGCUGGUAACGGAGUUUAAAUCACUGUAAACGGAGCUCUUAAUAGAGCCAUCCACUGUGGUCUUCUCUUCCUAGUAAAUCCACACAUAUUUACACACCUCAUUUGGAUGAAUCAUGAGCAUUUUGGAUGUAAGUUACAAUUUCCAAAUAUCAUCCAUCAAUCCUUUUUUUAAAGAAAUAAAAUUCAGUAUUAAACAUAUGAAGUAUAAAAACGUAAAGUCCACUUUGGCUCAGUAGGAAUUCUGAACAAAUGCUCUCAGUAAAUUAACUGUUGAUAGAGUAAACCACUGUGGUCCUCACUCUCUGGUGAGUUCCCACACAUUACAGUACAAAGUAAGUCAUAAUGCAUUGCUGACUUAAGUAAACCUAAUUAUAUUAAUGAUGGCAUCAAUUACUCCUCUGGUGUGGUUUUGUGGUGCAUUUUUCCCAGGUCUGUGGCACGGAGGAGGACAGUUGGGAGUCUUGACAUGUCAGAGCGUCCGGGGCCAGGAGCAGGAUUAAUGGCCGCCUCGCCUGCGUCCAAGGUCCUUCAGCUGUAAUUGCGAGCAGAAUCUGACUCUGUGAUCUCAGCUGCGGUAUGCAACAUGCCAAAACAGACUGCUUUUGACAGAUUACCUUCCUGAAGUAAUAACUUAAGCACGUUCAUUCUCUCAAAUUAGGCGUCACAUGCCUCCCACUCCACAGUGCAGGAGCAAAGACUUCUUUCCACCCCCUCUGUGUGUAUAUAUCUUAAAAAUAUUUCCCUGCUUUGACAGAUCAGAGUUAAAAUCUGUUUUUAGUUCACAAAAUCUGCUUUUGUCGGCUGCGGAGCCUCACCUGCAGUUGACAAGUGUUUGGAAAUGUUUUGAAUAAAAGAUGUAAUAUUCAUCUUUUGCAGCUGUGCUGUGCUGGCCUUAUGAAACGCUUUUGGAGGAUCACGCUACAGACAUCCUCGGGGCUUUUUUUUUGACUCUUUUUAGCCGCUCUGCUAUGUUAGCCUCCAGGCCUGUGCAGGAAUAAAUCUCACUGUGGUUCUUCUCUCGCUCUCUUUCUCUCAGUUGAUAGUUCGUGUCCUGCCUCAGGACAGAGGGACUCCUAUGUGCUGCUCUGUGGUGGGUUGUGUUCUCUGGAGCAGUUAAAAGCCUGGCAGCUCCACCCCAUGACUGUCCAAACACAGUUGACUGUAGGCAUCCACAUCAAACAGAGCUCUCUGCAAAGCCCAUUGGAAAGCUAACCGUGGGGUGCUUAGCUUAUUUAUUUAUAUUCCUUGUAUAAAGAGGCGUCUAGCUUUGGAUUUUUAAAGCAAAAAUCUCCCCCUCUAGUGUUUGUAAUUUACGAGACAAAGCUUCAUUUGAAGAGCGGUUCUGACACAUGCAACACCCGGUUCUGCUCAAGUCGUCUGGACUGAGAGCAAAGCGAGAUUCAGAGCGAUUAACAAGAAAAGACAAGUCAGCGAAAGGUCCUUUCAGUCUGCCCCUCAACGAACAUGCUGGAGUGAAAUUAACUUUCCCGGCAGUGUGUGUUUAAGAGCGAACACACACCGGCUGCAAUCACUAAUUCAUCCUGCCUUCGAGAUCCUCUGACACUGACAUUCGUUGGAGGGGGGAUGCGACGUGAAAAUGUAAAUAAACUUUAGAGGAGCUUUGGGUCAGUGUGGGAGGAAAUUUAUAGUUUUGGCAUUUACUCUGCAGCCAUCACUCAUCCCCCUGUCGAGAGCAGAGGCCUUGAUCAGCAGAGCCUCUGUUGGCCCUCAGAUGACCCGCAGCCUAUCUGACCAGCUGUGGUUCAGAUGCCUCAGACUGAAAUGUUCACAUUAUUGUAAUAACUCAGACUGUUAACCCUUUCUGGACAGCUGCUGCCUCAAUAGGAAGUCAUAUUUUUGUCACUACGUCUUUUAGAAGUACAGGCAGUGAGCAUGAACAUUUAAAGUUCAUACCUUUAUGUUUUAAAUUUUUCAUUAUUGUAUUGUGGUGACAAUCUAUCUUCUAAGGUUACUUUUAGAGACAACAGAAUCAGUUUGGUAGAGGUAAAAGGUGGAUGGUGAUUUGGGUUGAAGCCUCUUUUUUUGUCACGUCAAAGAUUCAUCAUGAGUUUCAUGUGACCUCAAGGAGUUUUUAGCUAGUUAUGAAACACUCUAAAGUUAGGUUAGGUGUUCUUUUAUGACCAUCAGCAGUAAACAAGGCUGGAUAAAUCUCUGCAGUGAUUUUUAUUCUUUAAAACUGCUGCUGUUGGGUAGGUGUUAAAAAGGAAUCAUAAUAGUUUGUCCAAGCAGGCUUUGGUAACAUUUUCACUUCAACAAAAAAAAUUUCAUUUUAGUAUUGUGAGAAAAAAGAAACCCUUACUGCUUUUAUAUGUUGAGUAAAAUCUGAGAAAAUAAGAGGUACCACUUUGUCCAUAGGGGGCACCAAAGGUGGCAUAACCUGUAAGUUCCUCUCAAGAGAAUGACUUUUAAAUCUUAAAAUUUGCAUUUGGUCGCUCUCAAAUCUCCCCAUAUUAGAAAUGACUCAAAAAUUUCAAUUCACCUCAAUUUAUUUAGGUUUCAUUUUUUGUUACUAGGAAGGUAAAUAUUUUGUUUGAGUGCUAGCAGUGUUUUACAAAGUCCAUAUAUCAAAACUCCGUAAAGGAUAUAUAUGUUUUUACACUUAUGAAAUAGAUGCACACUGAUGCCUUUUCAUAAUAUUCAAAUGCAAACAAGACCAUCAGAAACAAGACGAGCAAGCUUUUAUUCUUAUUUUUAGUGCCCCAAACUGGUGUGAGGGGGUAUAUGUCAGCCAAACUCUUGAAAAAACAGCCCUGUUUUUACAAUUUCUUAAUACAAAUAUUCACAAUAAAUGUCAAAAGUCAGCAGAUGAAAUUUUUUUUGUCAAACAAUACUACUGAAGCAAGUAGAGGAUGAGAAAAGCUAAGACUGCUUUGUCCCCUGGGUGCACCAAAAUUGACACAAAACUAAAGUUUUACACUGGAGCUUUAAUGGCAUUCAAAUUUUAAUUUAUAUUGACCUGAAGUGAAUCAAAUCGAACCAAAUCAAACCUUCUUGUAUUGAAUUGUAGCCAUCAAUGUUUGCCCUUUUAGGAAGCAAUUCACACCCUCAAUAUACACAAGAUAAAUAAACACCUCACAAUAUACCUGUGUUUGUAGGCCCAUGUGUCCCUAUAAACAUGUAUGGUAUGUGGCAAUAGGGAACUCAAUCUCAUCUCCUCAGUACAUUGAAACCAAACUACCUGAACGGCUAGAUACUGCCAAAUGUAAGUGACUAAUCUCCUUUCUGUAAUAUGAGUGAACCCACCCUCUAGACUGUAGCCUGGCUUUUAAUGGAUUUGGCAGGCGCUCCAAACUCAACAGGGUGUGUGCACUGUGCAGCAGAAUGUACAGGCCUGUAAAAGCCAAAUCAAAGUCUAAUAAUGGGAAGGUGGCCUUCAAGCAAAGUGCCAAUUAUUUUAAAUUGCUCCAUUAAAGGCGGCAAUCACAACUGUCAUGUUAGCAUUUGGACAUAACGGCUCACUUCUGGUGGCUGGAGUUCACGUGGGUGUAGCUGCAAGAGUCAUAAACACGUGCAGAUUUACAUAACCUCGUGAAUCAAAUGAGUUUGUUUGCUGACUGCUUGCCAUAACACAUAAAAAAAGCACCACAUUUUCUCACUUCAGCCGAGAGAACAAAGCCCCUCGCUGUUUUUUCCUGCUUUUAACAGGUGAGCGCUCCAGCUAUUAAUUUGUGUAGGGCCACCUACUUUAAUUGGUCCUAAUCUGGAGUGAGUGGCUUUGAUCUCUCUGACAGUUUGACUGCAUUAGCACGAGUGUGAGGGCUAAUCCUCUGCGUAGCUUGUUCUUCUGGCGCAGUCAGAGGCCUGUCCGGCGAUAAUAUGUCAGCUGAGGGAUAAGCCCUCAUCAAACAACCAGGUCUAAGCUUCUGGAAAAUGGGGGUUGAAGGGCCACCAUCAUGCUGUGCUUCAAACAAAGGUGGAGACGUCAACUAGCUCCAAUCCAAAACCUUAAAGAGGGGACAUUUUUAAGGUUUAAAGGUUUGUGUCUUUUAUGCAAACUCGUUGUCUUCGCUCUUUAUCAUAAGCACUAUUUAUUUGACUUCGUCUUCCAGCGAGGCUCGAGCUGUUCAAUGAAUCCUUUAUACCCUUAUCCCAUCGCUCUUCAUAAACACCCUCUGCAUGCAUGAUCCACAGGUCCAAACAGCGUCUCUUUCUGUGCUGUGUCAUCUUAUUAGGAAGUAACAAGCAUGUGAAGUGUUUGUCCUGAACUCCAGCUGAACCCUCAUGAAUUAUGAUAACCAUCGCACAGUCAACAAUAUCUGCUUUCAGAAGAGGAGAAGAGAAGGAGAUAGUGUUUGAAAUGAAGAAAAUAGCGGCACUUGUGCUCCUCCACUGAUUAUAUCACACAUCAUGGUGAUUUAAGAUAUCUCGACGGGCAUAUCUCAACUUCAGUGGAGCUUUUGUUUUCGUGUUAUAUGAUGGAGGAAUGUGUUGCAUGUGAAAAGGCCAAAUGUAUCAGUUACUGCGAAUUCAAAGAGGACAGCUGAAGAGAAGGGUUUCUCAAAGAUCAUUUUGAUCAUAAAUCCAUGUAAGAACUCUGCUUCGCUCGGCUUUUGUUGCCUUCAAAGUUUGUUGUUUUUGUUCCUCUGCGAGAAGCAGCAUUUACUGGUAUGUGAGUGAGUGAGUGUUGGAGGCAGAGUCUGUGAUUUUACAUCCACACUGAUUUUUUUCAGUGCUUUCAGAACAAUGUGAAUUGAAAGUAAGUCGUGUUUGAAUUUGAGAUGCAGUCUGUUUGGAGUAUCUUCUGGAGGGGAUAUAAAGUUUUUCUGCAGGUUAUCAUAAUUAAAUCAUUCAUGCAUGUUACGCUGACAGUAUGUCGGUAUAUUUUCACAUUUAGAAUAUGCUCAAAUUACCCUGUGGUGUCUUUGCAUUCUGACUUGGUCAACUGCAGUAACAAGGAAAAGACAUAAAGCUCUACUUACCAGGAAACUCAAAUGGAAAAGUUUAUUAAACAGAAGUGAGCCGAAAUGCUCUUAAGAUAUCAUCUUCAAUACAUAUAGACAUCCAUGUGAUUAAAAACAGGUGAAAUCUAUAAAAAACAUAUUAGAUUUAUUAUAUUUUUAAACAACAGUCUAGUGCCCUACCAUUAUGUUCAACAUAAAAUGUCCUCUGAGAAAAAUCAGACACAGUUAACAUACUUAUUAAACCAUGCAUGUCUGUCUACAACAGAAUAUUGGAUGACAAAAUAUUUUGAUCCGAAAACCUACACAUUGUGAGCUUCCGAAACAUCGGAAAGUCAACGCUUCUAGACGAGAUGUCCGAUAUCGAACUAUACUACGACCUGAAAAGGGUAAACUAACUAAAUGUUAUUAUUUUUUAUUAUUAAUGAGUGUACCUGAUGUUUUAAGAUUCAUUUAACGCUAGUUGUUUGAUGAUACGUACAGUUUUUGAGCUAAGCUAGACUAUUUCCUUGAUUCUGAUGUCGUAAUUCAACAUAGAAAUAAUCAAACUUCCUUUCUAAUCUUUUGCAAGGGAGAAAUUUAGCAUAUUUUGAGGAAAAUAUUCCAAUAAUUUUGUCUUUCUUCAAGAAGAUUUCUAAGUGCCUAUAAGACUACCUUUCCUGUCUUGAGAAAAAGCCGAGGAUUUCAAAGAAACAAAGACAGGAAAACCUAUUUGUCACACUUUUGAUGUAUUUUAGUAUCUCUCCUUUUUUUUGUCAGUUUAGGACCCUAAAUGCUGUCCUGUGAUCCCUAACAACAUCGAGACCGUAAAACAUCAUAGUUGUAGUUCAAUUCUCAAAGGUUGAUUUCCAACAAAUCCUAUGAAUAUCGUGCUUUAUCGUCUUCUAAUUCAUAAACUGCCCUCUAAACCUUUUCAGCUCACUGGCUCGCCUCACUGGAGGCCACCUGUAAGUGGUCAUCUGGUUUCAUUUGUAUUUGGGGCCAUUUGGCUGCUCUGCCAUCCAUCAGAAACCAGCAG